CAGCAGUAGCCACGGGAAUACGAAGGGUGCAAGCGUUAAUCGGAAUUACUGGGCGUAAAGCGCGCGUAGGUGGUUUGGUAAGAUGGAUGUGAAAUCCCCGGGCUCAACCUGGGAACUGCAUCCAUAACUGCCUGACUAGAGUACGGUAGAGGGUGGUGGAAUUUCCUGUGUAGCGGUGAAAUGCGUAGAUAUAGGAAGGAACACCAGUGGCGAAGGCGACCACCUGGACUGAUACUGACACUGAGGUGCGAAAGCGUGGGGAGCAAACAGGAUUAGAUACCCCAGUAGUCCCUGUCUCUUAUAC
Molecule: ribosomal RNA, 304 nt
Filed under: uncultured bacterium
Lineage: Bacteria
Description: partial 16S ribosomal RNA
Rfam family: Bacterial small subunit ribosomal RNA
Source: RNAcentral